This 68-nucleotide transfer RNA is filed under the name Marmota monax (woodchuck). RNAcentral describes it as "tRNA.Gly". The record is from RNAcentral. Lineage: Eukaryota; Metazoa; Chordata; Mammalia; Rodentia; Sciuridae.
GUGGUGGCUUAGUGGUAGAAUGCUCGCCUACCAUGCAUGAGGCACUGGGUUUGAUCCUCAGCACCACA